RNAcentral lists this transfer RNA (76 nucleotides) under Marmota monax (woodchuck). Its description in RNAcentral is "tRNA.Ala". Lineage: Eukaryota; Metazoa; Chordata; Mammalia; Rodentia; Sciuridae. The record is from RNAcentral.
GGGGUUGUAGCUCAGUGGUAGAGUGCUUGCCUGGCAUGUGUAACAGUGCGCACUGGGUUCAAUUUUCAGCACCACA